Pelobates cultripes (western spadefoot toad) is the source of this 148-nucleotide non-coding RNA. The record is from the annotation of a GenBank genome assembly. NCBI's taxonomy places the organism in Eukaryota, Metazoa, Chordata, Amphibia, Anura, Pelobatidae.
GGGCAAUAAUCCCAAUCAGCAGCAGACCCUCCCUCCCAGACCCUCCCACCUCCUGGACAGCAUCCAUUUUGAAGCUGCAUUCUUAGUGAGCUGUCCAGGAGGUGGGAGGGUCUGGGAGGGAGGGUCUGCUGCUGAUUGGCUGGAAUGU